AGUAGAAUGGCUGAGGAUAGGUAAAAGAUUGUAAAUCUUUUAAGGAGUUAAAGACUCUUCUACUA
Molecule: transfer RNA, 65 nt
Filed under: Neogeoscapheus hanni
Lineage: Eukaryota; Metazoa; Arthropoda; Insecta; Blattodea; Blaberidae
Description: tRNA-Tyr
Source: RNAcentral